GUGUCAGCAGCCGCGGUAAUACGAAGGAUCCAAGCGUUAUCCGGAUUCAUUAGGUUUAAAGGGUGCGUAGGCGGUUUUGUAAGUCAGUGGUGAAAUCUCUCAGCUUAACUGAGAAACUGCCAUUGAUACUGCAGAACUAGAGUACAGAUGACGUUGGCGGAAUGUGUCAUGUAGCGGUGAAAUGCAUAGAUAUGACACAGAACACCGAUUGCGAAGGCAGCUGACGAAACUGCAACUGACGCUGAUGCACGAAAGUGCGGGGAUCAAACAGGAUUAGAUACCCCUGUAGUCC
Molecule: ribosomal RNA, 292 nt
Filed under: uncultured bacterium
Lineage: Bacteria
Description: partial 16S ribosomal RNA
Rfam family: Bacterial small subunit ribosomal RNA
Source: RNAcentral